This 484-nucleotide ribosomal RNA is filed under the name uncultured bacterium. RNAcentral's name for it is "partial 16S ribosomal RNA". It matches the Rfam family "Bacterial small subunit ribosomal RNA", at positions 30 to 507 of the family's 1533-position model. The record is from RNAcentral.
AUUGAACGCUGGCGGCAGGCCUAACACAUGCAAGUCGAGCGGACGAAGGGAGCUUUCUCCUGGAUUCAGCGGCGGACGGGCGAGUAAUGCCUAGGAAUCUGCCUGGCAGAGGGGGAUAACGUACGGAAACGGGAGCUAAUACCGCAUACGACCAGAUGUAGAACGGGGGGGAUCUUCGGACCUCACGCUAUCAGAUGAGCCUAGGUCGGAUUAGCUAGUUGGUGGGGUAAAGGCCUACCAAGGCGACGAUCCGUAACUGGUCUGAGAGGAUGAUCAGUCACACUGGAACUGAGACACGGUCCAGACUCCUACGGGAGGCAGCAGUGGGGAAUCUUGGACAAUGGGCGAAAGCCUGAUGCAGCCAUGCCGCGUGUGUGAAGAAGGUCUUCGGAUCGUAAAGCUCUGUUAGUAGGGAAGAAGAGAAGUAAGUGAAUCCCUGCCUGUCUUGACGUUACCUACUGAGAAAGCCCCGGCUAACUACGUG